RNAcentral lists this ribosomal RNA (464 nucleotides) under uncultured Desulfuromonadaceae bacterium. Its description in RNAcentral is "partial 16S ribosomal RNA". It matches the Rfam family "Bacterial small subunit ribosomal RNA", at positions 338 to 794 of the family's 1533-position model. Lineage: Bacteria; Pseudomonadati; Thermodesulfobacteriota; Desulfuromonadia; Desulfuromonadales; Desulfuromonadaceae. The record is from RNAcentral.
CCUACGGGAGGCAGCAGUGGGGAAUUUUGCGCAAUGGGGGCAACCCUGACGCAGCAACGCCGCGUGAGUGAUGAAGGCCUUCGGGUCGUAAAGCUCUGUCAGAGGGGAAGAAAUGCAGGUGGUGAACAACCAUUCUGUUUGACGGUACCCUCAAAGGAAGCACCGGCUAACUCCGUGCCAGCAGCCGCGGUAAUACGGAGGGUGCGAGCGUUGUUCGGAAUUAUUGGGCGUAAAGCGCGUGUAGGCGGUUUGUUAAGUCUGAGGUGAAAGCCCCGGGCUCAACCGGGGAAGUGCAUUGGAUACUGGCAGACUUGAGUACGGGAGAGGAGAGUGGAAUUCCCAGUGUAGAGGUGAAAUUCGUAGAUAUCGGGAAGAAUACCGGUGGCGAAGGCGACCUCCGGGCCCGCAACUGACGCUCAUCCGCGAAAGCGUGGGGAGCAAACAGGAUUAGAUACCCCUGUAGU